This 546-nucleotide ribosomal RNA is filed under the name uncultured bacterium. RNAcentral describes it as "bacterial SSU rRNA". It matches the Rfam family "Bacterial small subunit ribosomal RNA", at positions 356 to 896 of the family's 1533-position model. The record is from RNAcentral.
GGGGAAUAUUGCGCAAUGGGGGCAACCCUGACGCAGCCAUGCCGCGUGAAUGAAGAAGGCCUUCGGGUUGUAAAGUUCUUUCGGUAGCGAGGAAGGCAUUUAGUUUAAUAGACUAGGUGAUUGACAUUAACUACAGAAGAAGCACCGGCUAACUCCGUGCCAGCAGCCGCGGUAAUACGGAGGGUGCGAGCGUUAAUCGGAAUAACUGGGCGUAAAGGGCACGCAGGCGGUGACUUAAGUGAGGUGUGAAAGCCCCGGGCUUAACCUGGGAAUUGCAUUUCAUACUGGGUCGCUAGAGUACUUUAGGGAGGGGUAGAAUUCCACGUGUAGCGGUGAAAUGCGUAGAGAUGUGGAGGAAUACCGAAGGCGAAGGCAGCCCCUUGGGAAUGUACUGACGCUCAUGUGCGAAAGCGUGGGGAGCAAACAGGAUUAGAUACCCUGGUAGUCCACGCUGUAAACGAUGUCGAUUUGGGGGUUGAACUUUAAGUUUGGCGCCCGUAGCUAACGUGAUAAAUCGACCGCCUGGGGAGUACGGCCGCAAGGUUA